AGACGGAGGGUCCUAGCGUUGUUCGGAAUAACUGGGCGUAAAGGGUACGUAGGCGGUUUGGUCAGUUAGAUGUGAAAGCCCAGGGCUCAACCUUGGAACUGCAUUUAAUACUGCCAGACUUGAGAUCGGAAGAGGAAAGCGGAAUUCCUAGUGUAGAGGUGAAAUUCGUAGAUAUUAGGAGGAACAUCAGAGGCGAAGGCGGCUUUCUGGUCCGAUACUGACGCUGAGGUACGAAAGCGUGGGGAGCAAACAGGAUUAGAAACCCUAGUAGUCC
Molecule: ribosomal RNA, 274 nt
Filed under: uncultured bacterium
Lineage: Bacteria
Description: partial 16S ribosomal RNA
Rfam family: Bacterial small subunit ribosomal RNA
Source: RNAcentral